Molecule: long non-coding RNA, 1306 nt
Organism: Ictalurus punctatus (channel catfish)
Lineage: Eukaryota; Metazoa; Chordata; Actinopteri; Siluriformes; Ictaluridae
Exons: 3
Source: RefSeq, a predicted model, not a curated record
UGCAUUAGGUGUUCUCUCUCUCUCUCUCUCUCUCUCUCUCUCUCUCUCUCUCUCUCUCUCUCCCUCUCUUCUCUUUCUGUCUCUCACACAUCUACUCAUAGACGUCUACUCCAUUUCAGUCUGUCUGUUUUGUCAUUUCUCUUCUAACCUCCCUUAUUGCUGUCUUCCUCCUGAGAGUUUCCUCUUCAUGCGCAACAACUGGUAGCUUUCCCCCCUUUUCUCCUCCUCCUCUCUUCUCCAGUGCGGAAGGUCCGCUUAUCUUCCAGCACCUGUGCUUCGAAGGGUGUUGGAGUGCAAAGUGGGGAGGGUGCGGGGUUCCUGUGGUUUUUGGGCGCAAGCCAAGGAGGCAAGAGGAAGCCACGAGGUUUAGAGCUUCUUUCCAGCGUCAUCAUCAUCAUCAGCAGCAGCAGAAGCAGCAGCAGAGGCGGCAGAGACAACAGAAGAGACAGCACAUCCCUCAGUCUCUCGCUCACUCCGCUGCUCAAGAGGAAGAAGAGAAGCUCGCGGCUUUGUGCUCGCUCUGAGAGCUGCGGAGAAAAGAGAAACAGAAUAAUGGGGAGAGACUGACAGGCGUCCUUGGAUCCCGGCAUGUGUAUCUCCAUGUGGGGUGUCUGUGACCAUCUGGAUAAACCCACAACUGCUAUGAUCAGUCUCCAGUUCACCAUUCAGAUGCAACCUUUGACUGUCUUGCCUUGUGAAUAAAAGCCCCAUCUUCAAUCAAUCCCCAUAGAGAGAAGGUCUCUGGUGUUGGCCUGUGUGCCACGGUGGAUGAAUGAGUGACAGGCACUUCCCUCCUCCCUCUUCUUUCUGAGGCUCUCUUCGGUGACGGGUAUUCUUGGGUGGAUAAUACGGAUCACGUUGUUAUUGCUUAAGAAUACGCGUAGUUGAGGAGAGUCAUUUUCGACCGUGCCUUCAGGGAGCUGACCUCGGCUUAACCGCUCUCCAGAUGUCCUAGCCGAGUGCUGUUGUUAGAGGAGGGGGAAAAAAGAAGGGAAAUGAGUGAACGUUUCUAUCGAGGUUCAUUUAUCAGUGCAGCAGAUAAUCAUUUCCCCAGCGUUUACAUUGAUUUCUCUACGGCAAGCCUUCAUGUUGUUAUUACUCCAGCGUUCUAGCAAGUUGUAUCAGGAGGCUGGCGUUUCCUGCUUGCUGAGACUUCAUCCAUAUCUGCUGUGCAUUUAUAUUUCUCCCACCAUCUCACUAUCAUCCAUCCUGCCAAAGUGAUAUUUUAUGUAGUGCCAUUCAACCACUCUGCAUUCUGCAUUUUACACAAUUUGCUUGGUUUGCUUGGGGGGUGGUGUGUGGAAUG